CUUCAAUGAAGAGAGGAUGACGAGUCUGACUGGAGGUAUUAUCUUUGCCAGGUGGCCCCUACUCCUUGCUGCGUUCAAAAGCAAAGAGAAGA
Molecule: small nucleolar RNA, 92 nt
Filed under: Mustela putorius furo (domestic ferret)
Lineage: Eukaryota; Metazoa; Chordata; Mammalia; Carnivora; Mustelidae
Source: RNAcentral